This 1179-nucleotide long non-coding RNA is filed under the name Homo sapiens (human). RNAcentral's name for it is "HSALNT0164257". Lineage: Eukaryota; Metazoa; Chordata; Mammalia; Primates; Hominidae. The record is from RNAcentral.
CAAGACAAUUAAAAAUCCACAUUUCCUUGUUUAGCAUAAACUUUCUAGAAAGGCUCUUUGUUUUUCUGCCCCAUUUUAUCUAAAACAAAUAGCACAAAUCAGAGGAAAAGAGUCUUUUCUAACAUUUGUUCAAUCUAAAAGCUAAAUCCAGCAUGUAGGAUAUACUUACUUUAUUGCUAUACCAUGAUUGGCUCUCUUCUUCACUCCAGGAGGCUAUUUUUGAUUUGUUGGACAUAUAAGUAAGGAAGAAAGAGUGGGAGCAAUUUCUCAGAGCCCCCAGGAUACUUAUUAAGUUUACUCCAACUUCCCCUUCACCUUCCCCAAAUAAAUUCUUCUUAAUUACUAUAAUUAUUAGUUUUGUUAUAUUUACAGAAUUUGAAAGCUUUUUCCAGUGGUUUUUACUUAGACUGUAACUCUGUUCCCAGUGUCCAGUCUAGGUUUUCUCAUUCGUUUAAAAUAUUUAUCCAGCUACAUUAACUCCCAAAAGCCUGUAAGUCCUAAAGACUACUAAAGCAGCAAUUGUACCUGAAGAUAACCGCAACAAUACCACUGCUCAUCCCUGCUCCCAUGCCAACUUAAAAGCAGAAAGAAUACGGAGUUCCUAGGAAUAUAAGAAACAGCUUGUUGCCCUGGUGCCUAUACAGCUCACUCUUGAACUUCAAGUCAAAGGUAAGAAACAGAAAAAGGGGAAAUAGGCUGGGCAUGGUGGCUCAUACCUGAAAUCCCAGCACUUUGGGAGUUGGGGCGGUGAGGAUCACUUAAGGCCAGGACCUCAAGAUAGAUUUAAUCCAUCCCAUUUUAUAGAUGAAGACUGAAGUUUAGAGAGAUUAAUUCCCUUGUCCGAGGUCACUCAAGGAGGAAAUGGAGAGUUAAAAUUUGAUCUGAAAUUCAGUCUGGCACCAAAACCUGUGCUUUUUCCAACCCUCUCUACAUUUCUUUCAGCACUAUUAUUUUCUUCCAUUUAAUAUUAAUCUGGCAUAAAUGCUCUUAGUGAAAGAUUAUGUUAACCUCACUAAAUGUAGAAAAAACACUCAAAAGGGCCAUUUUCGUCUCAUGGAUGCUCUUGCCUAUCAUUUAAUCAAGGUAAGAAUAUAUUCAAUAGCUUUCAUUUGCUCCUACAAAAGUUGGUACACCAUAGCUACAUGAUCUAGUUAAACCAACUGUGAAUUCUUUAAACCC